AUGAACGCUGGCGGCGUGCCUAAUACAUGCAAGUCGAGCGAACGGACGAGAAGCUUGCUUCUCUGAUGUUAGCGGCGGACGGGUGAGUAACACGUGGAUAACCUACCUAUAAGACUGGGAUAACUUCGGGAAACCGGAGCUAAUACCGGAUAAUAUUUUGAACCGCAUGGUUCAAAAGUGAAAGACGGUCUUGCUGUCACUUAUAGAUGGAUCCGCGCUGCAUUAGCUAGUUGGUAAGGUAACGGCUUACCAAGGCAACGAUGCAUAGCCGACCUGAGAGGGUGAUCGGCCACACUGGAACUGAGACACGGUCCAGACUCCUACGGGAGGCAGCAGUAGGGAGUCUUCCGCAAUGGGCGAAAGCCUGACGGAGCAACGCCGCGUGAGUGAUGAAGGUCUUCGGAUCGUAAAACUCUGUUAUUAGGGAAGAACAUAUGUGUAAGUAACUGUGCACAUCUUGACGGUACCUAAUCAGAAAGCCACGGCUAACUACGUG
Molecule: ribosomal RNA, 496 nt
Filed under: uncultured bacterium
Lineage: Bacteria
Description: partial 16S ribosomal RNA
Rfam family: Bacterial small subunit ribosomal RNA
Source: RNAcentral